AUCUUGGGGGUCCACGUCUCCAGGACGACAAAGCAAAGCAGAAACGCUUCCCUGUGGACUGAAUAGCAGAAACUCGAAUGCUCACAGCAGCGGUCUUCCUACUGGCCAACAAUUUUAAGCCAUCCAGUACCUGUGGGUAGAGCAGACUGGUAUCCCCACAGAUGGACCACUGUAAGCCACGUGCAAUGUGUGCUUCUCAGAGGCUUCAGCGAAAGCGGCCAAGUACAGGAGUGUAGGCAGAGGUCAGACUGCCUGCCCGUGUUAGUAGGUAAGUACAUGGGGAGUGUGGAGUCCCAGUAGCAGCAACUGCCUGAUCCUGAGGGCACCUUCAUACAUGUGAAUCCCAGUGGUGGGAC
RNAcentral lists this long non-coding RNA (356 nucleotides) under Rattus norvegicus (Norway rat). RNAcentral describes it as "long non-coding RNA NONRATT017246". The record is from RNAcentral. Lineage: Eukaryota; Metazoa; Chordata; Mammalia; Rodentia; Muridae.